This 1705-nucleotide long non-coding RNA is filed under the name Mus musculus (house mouse). Its description in RNAcentral is "long non-coding RNA chr2:5869347-5871052". Lineage: Eukaryota; Metazoa; Chordata; Mammalia; Rodentia; Muridae. The record is from RNAcentral.
UCAGAAAUAAUUUUUAAACUGUAUUUAAUAUUCUCAUAAGGCCACUUCAUUCCUAAAAGUGUACCAAGAUAAUGCUUCAAUAGUGAACAUAGUUAAUUCUUAAUUUUUUUUUUUUUUUUUUUUUUUGGUUUUUCGAGACAUGGUUUCUCUGUAUAGUCCUGGCUGUCCUGGAAACUCACUUUGUAGACCAGGCUGGCCUCGAACUCAGAAAUCCGCCUGCCUCUGCCUCCCGGAGUGCUGGGAUUAAAGGCGUGCGCCACCAUGCCCCGCUAAUUCUUAAUAUAUUAAAAAUAUAUGAAAACUCGGGAUCCUUCCUUCAAGUGUGCACACACUUCAGUUUCCUAACCUUACCUCCGAAAAUAUUGUUUUACAAAACUAAACCCAUAGGAAAAAGAUUAACAUGGAUUCUACAUAUAUAUGGAUGUCAGUAGCCAUGAGUAUAGGCAGGUAUAUUAGCCAAUUAUCUGAAACAAUCAGACUACACAAGAAAUGCAGAAAUGGUUUCUAGUAUAUGCUAGGCCUAAAGUUCACCCAGGAGUUGUUCCAGUGUUCUGGCUCUGCUCUGGUCUGAUGAGCUCUGCUACUGUGAUUACCUCAGCUGAUUACAUCAGCUCAAGAAAGGUCAGUUCAGCCACCAGCAGCAGUCGGCAUGAUGCUUGUUGGCCAGCUCAACACGUUUGCAACCUAGGUCCAGGGUAGAUCCUGGGAACCUUAUAAAAGCGCUUUUCCCAGGUACAGUAGGUAUAGACGCUAAGUGUUAUUGCCGACACACAUUUUUAUGCACAAAAAUGUAAGCUCUUUAUACAAAUCUUUAUACUGGACUUCUUAAGGAUGGAAAUAAUUCUGGAACUUUGUAGUCCAAGUCUGCAUUCCUAAUGAGUGUGAAAAUUAACACCCAGUAUAGCACAGUAGCCUUCCCUGUGACUCUGACCCUUCCAAUGUUUUCUUUUGUGUUUAUAAUCAUGGCCCUGUCUCCCCAAAUAUACCAACUUUUGCCUGUAAGUUCCCUAGGACAUCUAUUUCACUGUGUCGUUUCCUUCCCUCUUUUGAAAUGAAGACACAGGCUCCACACAUUCGUCCUUUCCAUAGAGCAGGUAUAGGACCAGGUGCAAUAAAAAAAAAUGGCCUUGAGUAUCGGCCGAGAUACAAGGUGUACCCCAUCUUCCCUGGCCCCUGGGUCUCUUUCCUGUGGGAGUGUAACUGAGAAGUGACAGCUACAUCUUAGACGUGUCAGUAGCACAUUUCAUUACCAGGGUCUGUACCUCAGAGGUAGAGCCAGAUCUGGAGCUGGCCAUCUGGUGUCUUCACUCCUCACAACUUUUUUUCGUUCAUUUGGAAAACUCAGAAAGUGGGUUCUAAAAUACAGGGUGUUCUCCAGUGUCUGACCUUAGCUCAAGCUAAGUUAGCCCUACCUCCUGUUCCUACUGAAAACUGUACUUUUGAAAAUAAGUAAAAUAAAGUAUGUACAAAGAACUGGGUGGUGUCAAAUGAAGAGUAAAAUGUUUCCCAAGGACCCUAGCUCCUGCCAUUGAGUAAUUUAGAACUAAAAUAUGACCAUACUUGACCCUCUCAAGCAUAUGCAGAUCUGCUCUGUAGAAAUACAGUGAACCUACAGAAAUACUCUUAGAGAACACUUAAUAGGAAUCUCUUUAUUUUUCAUCACAACUGCAACAGUUUUCUUAAAUAAAGUUUAUUGUCUACUGUU